UACGAAGGGGGCUAGCGUUGUUCGGAAUUACUGGGCGUAAAGGGCGCGUAGGCGGCGUGUCAAGUCAGGCGUGAAAGCCCCGGGCUCAACCUGGGAACCGCGCUUGAGACUGGCAUGCUCGAGUUCGGGAGAGGAUGGUGGAAUUCCCAGUGUAGAGGUGAAAUUCGUAGAUAUCAGGAGGAACACCGGUGGUGUAGACGGCUUACUGGACCAUGACUGACGCUGAGGCACGAAAGCGUGGGUAGCAAACAGG
This 253-nucleotide ribosomal RNA is filed under the name uncultured bacterium. RNAcentral describes it as "partial 16S ribosomal RNA". It matches the Rfam family "Bacterial small subunit ribosomal RNA", at positions 524 to 776 of the family's 1533-position model. The record is from RNAcentral.